UAGCUCAUUACAACAGCCAUCGUUUAUUAGAAUACUCCGUUAUCCUACUUGGAUAACUGUGGCAAUUCUAGAGCUAAUACAUGCGAAAAAGCUCGGACCGCGAGGAACGAGCGCAUUUAUUAGAAUAAAAACCAAUCGGGCCUCGCGCCCGUCUCUUGGUGAAUCUGAAUAACUUUGCCGAUCGCACGGUCCUAGCACCGGCGACGUAUCUUUCAAGUGUCUGCCUUAUCAACUUUCGAUGGUAGGCUACACGCCUACCAUGGUGUUAACGGGUAACGGAGAAUUAGGGUUCGACUCCGGAGAGGGAGCCUGAGAAACGGCUACCACAUCCAAGGAAGGCAGCAGGCGCGCAAAUUACCCACUCCCGGUACGGGGAGGUAGUGACGAAAAAUAACGAGACAGUCCUCUUCGAGGUCUGUCAUCGGAAUGGGUACAAUUUAAAUCCUUUAACGAGGAUCUAUUGGAGGGCAAGUCUGGUGCCAGCAGCCGCGGUAAUUCCAGCUCCAAUAGCGUAUAUUAAAGUUGUUGCGGUUAAAACGCUCGUAGUUGGAUCUGCGGCCGCGGAGCACGGUCCCCCGAAAGGGUGGCUCACCGUCGCUCCUAGCCUACAGUCCGCGACGUCCGCGCGUGCUCUUCACCGGGUGCGCGCGGUGUCCGGAACGUUUACUUUGAAAAAAUUAGAGUGCUUAAAGCAGGCGAAGUAGCCUGAAUAAUGUUGCAUGGAAUAAUGGAAUAGGACCUCGAUUCUAUUUUGUUGGUUUUCAGAGUCCGAGGUAAUGAUUAAGUGGGACGGACGGGGGCAUUCGUAUUCCGGCGCUAGAGGUGAAAUCGCUGGGAUCACCGGAUGACGGACGACUGC
This 859-nucleotide ribosomal RNA is filed under the name Tylencholaimus cf. parvus Tyl-A. RNAcentral describes it as "SSU rRNA". It matches the Rfam family "Eukaryotic small subunit ribosomal RNA", at positions 94 to 946 of the family's 1831-position model. The record is from RNAcentral. Lineage: Eukaryota; Metazoa; Nematoda; Enoplea; Dorylaimida; Tylencholaimidae.